UAGGGAAUCUUCGGCAAUGGGGGGAACCCUGACCGAGCAACGCCGCGUGAGUGAAGAAGGUUUUCGGAUCGUAAAGCUCUGUUGUUAAGGAAGAACGAGUGUGAGAAUGGAAAGUUCAUGCUGUGACGGUACUUAACCAGAAAGGGACGGCUAACUACGUGCCAGCAGCCGCGGUAAUACGUAGGUCCCGAGCGUUGUCCGGAUUGAUUGGGCGUAAAGCGAGCGCAGGCGGUUAGAAAAGUCUGAAGUGAAAGGCAGUGGCUCAACCAUUGUAGGUUUUUGGAACCGAUUAAGUUGGGGGCAGAAGGGGGGAGUGGAAUUCCAUGUGUAGCGGUGAAAUGGGUAGGUAUAUGGAGGAACAACGGUGGCGAAAGCGGCUCUGUGGUCUGGAACCGCCGCUGAGGCUCGGAAGCGUGGGGAGCGAACAGG
Molecule: ribosomal RNA, 429 nt
Filed under: Bacteroidota bacterium
Lineage: Bacteria; Pseudomonadati; Bacteroidota
Description: Bacteroidetes bacterium partial 16S ribosomal RNA
Rfam family: Bacterial small subunit ribosomal RNA
Source: RNAcentral